RNAcentral lists this ribosomal RNA (444 nucleotides) under uncultured bacterium. Its description in RNAcentral is "bacterial SSU rRNA". It matches the Rfam family "Bacterial small subunit ribosomal RNA", at positions 330 to 792 of the family's 1533-position model. The record is from RNAcentral.
CCCAGACUCCUACGGGAGGCAGCAGUGGGGGAUAUUGCACAAUGGGGGAAACCCUGAUGCAGCGACGCCGCGUGAGGGAAGAAGGUUUUCGGAUUGUAAACCUCUGUCCUCAGUGACGAUAAUGACGGUAGCUGAGGAGGAAGCCACGGCUAACUACGUGCCAGCAGCCGCGGUAAUACGUAGGUGGCAAGCGUUGUCCGGAAUUACUGGGUGUAAAGGGAGCGUAGGCGGGAAUACAAGUUGGAUGUCUAAUCUACCGGCUUAACCGGUAUUCGCAUUCAAAACUGUAUUUCUUGAGUGAAGUAGAGGCAGGCGGAAUUCCUAGUGUAGCGGUGAAAUGCGUAGAUAUUAGGAGGAACACCAGUGGCGAAGGCGGCCUGCUGGGCUUUAACUAACGCUGAGGCUCGAAAGCGUGGGUAGCAAACAGGAUUAGAUACCCGGGUA